CCUACGGGAGGCUGCAGUGGGGGAUAUUGCACAAUGGGGGAAACCCUGAUGCAGCGACGCCGCGUGUGGGAAGACGGUCCUCUGGAUUGUAAACCACUGUCCCCAGGGACGAAGAUGACGGUACCUGGGGAGGAAGCUCCGGCUAACUACGUGCCAGCAGCCGCGGUAAUACGUAGGGAGCGAGCGUUGUCCGGAAUUACUGGGCGUAAGGGGAGCGUAGGCGGGACUGCAAGUUGGGGGUCAAAUCUACCGGCUCAACCGGUAGCCGCACUCAAAACUGCAGUUCUUGAGUGAAGUAGAGGCAGGCGGAAUUCCUAGUGUAGCGGUGAAAUGCGUAGAUAGUAGGAGGAACACCAGUGGCGAAGGCGGCCUGCUGGGCUUUUACUGACGCUGAGGCUCGAAAGUGUGGGGAGCAAACAGGAUUAGAUACCCCUGUAGUC
Molecule: ribosomal RNA, 440 nt
Filed under: uncultured bacterium
Lineage: Bacteria
Description: partial 16S ribosomal RNA
Rfam family: Bacterial small subunit ribosomal RNA
Source: RNAcentral